RNAcentral lists this transfer RNA (75 nucleotides) under Microgenomates group bacterium RBG_16_45_19. Its description in RNAcentral is "tRNA-Lys". It matches the Rfam family "tRNA". Rfam says of the family: Transfer RNA (tRNA) molecules are approximately 80 nucleotides in length. Their secondary structure includes four short double-helical elements and three loops (D, anti-codon, and T loops). The record is from RNAcentral.
GGGCCCGUAGCUCAGCGGUAGAGCGACAGCCUUUUAAGCUGUGCGUCGAAGGUUCGAUCCCUUCCGGGCUCACCC